This 260-nucleotide ribosomal RNA is filed under the name uncultured archaeon. RNAcentral describes it as "partial 16S ribosomal RNA". It matches the Rfam family "Archaeal small subunit ribosomal RNA", at positions 748 to 1008 of the family's 1478-position model. The record is from RNAcentral.
CAGCCGUAAACAAUGUGCGUUAGGUGUGUCGGUAACCACGUGUUACUGAUGCGCCGAAGAGAAAUCGUGAAACGCACCACCUGGGAAGUACGGUCGCAAGGCUGAAACUUAAGGAUUGGCGGGGGAGCACCACAACAGGUGGAGCCUGCGGUUUAAUUUGGACUCAACGCCGGGAAGCUCACCGGAUAGGACAGCAGAAUGAUUGCCGGGCUGAAGACCCUGCAUGACUAGCUGAGAGGAGGUGCAUGGCGUCAGUGACU